GACGAACCGUGCGAACGUUGUUCGGAAUCACUGGGCUUAAAGGGCGCGUAGGCGGGCUGCCGCGUCCGGGGUGAAAUCCUCCCGCUCAACGGGAGAACGGCCUCGGAUACGGGCGGCCUCGAGGAGGGUAGGGGCAUCUGGAACUGUGGGUGGAGCGGUGAAAUGCGUUGAUAUCCACAGGAACUCCGGUGGCGAAGGCGAGGUGCUGGACCCCAUCUGACGCUGAGGCGCGAAAGCCAGGGGAGUGAACGGG
This 253-nucleotide ribosomal RNA is filed under the name uncultured bacterium. Its description in RNAcentral is "partial 16S ribosomal RNA". It matches the Rfam family "Bacterial small subunit ribosomal RNA", at positions 524 to 776 of the family's 1533-position model. The record is from RNAcentral.